RNAcentral lists this long non-coding RNA (871 nucleotides) under Callithrix jacchus (white-tufted-ear marmoset). RNAcentral describes it as "lncRNA (ENSCJAG00000071316.1)". Lineage: Eukaryota; Metazoa; Chordata; Mammalia; Primates; Cebidae. The record is from RNAcentral.
CUUUCCUCUGCUGGCUGUUCCAUUCAAGGCUUCAACAGAUUGGACAAUGAUACCCAGCACACUGGGAGGGCAAUCUACUGUAGUGAAUUAUCCAAUUCCAAUGCUAAUCUCUUCCAUGAACACCCUCUCAGACACACUAGAAAUAAUGAUUUGUCUGGGCACACCAAACCUCAGUCAUGUUAAUGGAUGAAAUGAACCAUUACAUCCUCUUUUCUGAAUUUACCAUGAAAUUGUAUGAGGUGAAAUAUGUAAAGUGCUUGGUAUGAUACCUUGUACAUAAUAAGUAUUAUGAUGAUUGUGAGGCUUUCCCAGUCACAUGGAACUUUGAUAGUCAUUCUCCUCAAGAAGAGAAAUAAUUUGGGAAAUGAUGCGGAAUGAGACUACCUUACUGAUUUUAAUCCAAAAGAUGCCUUGAGGUGAAACGUGCCUGAGGGUCCCUGCUGAUAGUUUAUACUCUAUCAGCCUUUCCACUGUCUCUCCUAAUCAGCAGUUUCAUCUAUUCUCCAUGGGUCUCACUGUCACCCAGGCUAUAGUGCAGUGGCAUGAUCUGGGCUCACUGCAACUUCUUCUUCCCCGGCUCAUGCAAUCUUCCCACCUCAGCCUCUGGAAUGUAUGGGACUACAGGCAUGCACCACAAAGCCUGGCCAGUUUUUUGUAUUUUUUGUAAAGAUGGGGUCUUGCCAUGUUACCCAGACUGAUCUCAAAUUCCUGACUCAAGCAAUCUGCCUGUUUCGGCCUUCCAAAGUGUUGGGAUUGCCCGCUUGAACCACAGCGCCAGGCUUCCUCUUAGUUUUAAAUGCACACAUCAGUUGUGUAGUAAAGGAAUUUUUUUUCCUCUAUUAUCUCUUGACCUAAGAUUCUUUGGCUUUAG